RNAcentral lists this ribosomal RNA (829 nucleotides) under uncultured Bacteroidota bacterium. Its description in RNAcentral is "bacterial SSU rRNA". It matches the Rfam family "Bacterial small subunit ribosomal RNA", at positions 29 to 854 of the family's 1533-position model. Lineage: Bacteria; Pseudomonadati; Bacteroidota. The record is from RNAcentral.
AUGAACGCUAGCGGCAGGCUUAACACAUGCAAGUCGAGGGGCAGCGCGGGGCGGCAACGUCCUGGCGGCGACCGGCGGAAGGGUGCGUAACGCGUGAGCGACAUGCCCGUCGCCCGGGGACAACCGGUGGAAACGCCGACUAAUCCCCGAUGGGACGGAGGCCCUCAUGGGUCUCUGUUGAAAGUUACGGCGGCGACGGAUUGGCUCGCGUCCGAUUAGCUUGUUGGCGGGGUAACGGCCCACCAAGGCUACGAUCGGUAGGGGUUCUGAGAGGAAGGUCCCCCACAAUGGAACUGAGACACGGUCCAUACUCCUACGGGAGGCAGCAGUGAGGAAUAUUGGUCAAUGGGCGGAAGCCUGAACCAGCCAUGCCGCGUGCGGGAAGGAGGCCCUAUGGGCUGUGAACCGCUUUUGCCUGGGGGCAAUAAGGGCGUCGUGCACGUCCGAUGAGAGUACCAGGCGAAUAAGCAUCGGCUAACUCCGUGCCAGCAGCCGCGGUAAUACGGGGGAUGCGAGCGUUAUCCGGAUUCAUUGGGUUUAAAGGGUGCGUAGGCUGUGCGUCAAGUCAGGGGUGAAAUUCCGGGGCUCAACUCCGGGGCUGCCCUUGAUACUGUCGCGCUGGAGUGCGGAUGCCGCCGGAGGAAUGAGUGGUGUAGCGGUGAAAUGCUUAGAUAUCACUCAGAACACCGAUUGCGAAGGCAUCUGGCGAAUCCGUAACUGACGCUGAGGCACGAAAGCGUGGGGAUAGAACAGGAUUAGAUACCCUGGUAUUCCACGCCGUAAACGAUGAUGGCUAACCGCCGGCGACACACUGUCGGUGGCCAAGCGA